Molecule: long non-coding RNA, 727 nt
Organism: Labrus mixtus (cuckoo wrasse)
Lineage: Eukaryota; Metazoa; Chordata; Actinopteri; Labriformes; Labridae
Exons: 3
Source: RefSeq, a predicted model, not a curated record
AGCAACCCAAAGCUCUGCAGCUUUAAGAAGUUUGCACACUUGAGCAGCUGGCAGCGCGCCACUUGGCCAACAUAAACAGCCCUAAUCCUUUUUCCAAGGAGCUUUCAACACUCAUCUCUCUGGCACAUCGGCCACUGACUCACUCUUUCUCUCUCUAACAUUCCUGUUUGUACGCAGGUCAGCAGAGUCGUCACCAGGGGGCGAUGUGGCCCUUGAAAUGUAGAAGCUUUUGGCUUCUUGCUGUUGAUCAUUAUUCACUGCUAAGCUGUGGGAGAGUACCCACUCAGAGGAGAGGAGCACAAACACAUUGAUCUUAUUUGGACAGGCUUUUGUCUGGGACACAUCCAAAACCCAAACAGCCAGGGGAAGCACCACAACAGGGUCUUUAGUCCGCUUCAGGAUCAACUCAGCAUGAGCACCAGAUAGCAAUUGGCGGUGUGACGGUACCAUGGUUAGGUAUUGAUUUUCAGCUUUGUGUUGCUGGCUGUGGUUGUUUCCAGCCCUGCUCGGCUGAAGCUAAAUCAUUGUGUUUUUCUGUGCUUCUGCCUCUGCUAGGGAACAACUACACAGUGUCAGUGGGAGGCUGCCUUAAUCCGUCGAGGGGCUAGAAAGUGAAAUGAGACUGGGACACCUAGUAAAAAACAAACAGCUGAGCUACAGGGACUACCAACUAGACGUAUCCCCUCGUCAUGUAACAUAACGUAUGCAUUAAAGCCCUUUACUUCUA